CCAAUCAAUACGAAAAUUUUUAUGGUCAAGUUGUGACAAACAUAUGUGGCUCAUGCCACUCUGGUUAAUCAUUGUUGAAUAUCCGAAAUAAUAUAAGGUGGAGUGCAAUGAUUUUUUUGGUUGAAAAAUCGAAUUAAGAAAUUUGCUGAACCUCUGGUUUGACUAGGUACAUUGGAUUAUUCAACAAUGUUGAAUAAUUAUAAAACAUGUUAGUAAUAAUUAAGAAAAAAACAAAAUAAAAUAUAAAAAAUAAAGUAAACUAUGCAAAUAGUCACUCAAUUUUGAUAAAAUGAUGAAAUAAUUAUUAAAAAAUAAUAAUAAAUCACUCGCUCACUAAUAUUUUUAGUUGCUUGCUAUAUUGAAUAUGAGCAGCAAAGGUCAUAAUUUGAAGGGAGAAGGGAAGGACGAGUAGAAAAAAAAAAGGAAAAAGGGAAAUUUGGGCUGGGCUGGGCUGGGCAGUAGAAGAAGAGAAGAAGACUGUUUAACCAUUUAACACUAUUUUUGGCAAAAAAAAAAAGUUAUUUUAACCUUUUGUAUUGAUAAUCUUUCAACCUUUGAAAUAACCUGUUGUAUCAAAACCGCCUCAAAAUCUGAUGGGUUUCGCGAUGAUUGGGUUGGUCUCGGACCACUUAAUGACUCCACCGUGCUACUCAUGCUACUCCUCGCCGUCUCUGCGAGUUCACUUCCGAAUCUUCAUAAUUGUCGCCCGUCUUAUGUAACCGGUGGUCGUUGGCGACAAAGCCUUCGUUGUUUCGACGAUGAUCACGGUCCAUUCCCAAAGCAGGGAAAUCGGAGGAAUUAAAAGGGAAUUCAUUUUCGCUUUGUCUCCACAGAGGGUAAUCGCCACCACAUCGUAGGCUCGAGCAGCUUCUUCAGCCGAAUUGAAGGUCCCUAGCCAAACCCUAGUUUUUUUCAAGGGAUCUCUAACCUUCGCUGCAAAUCUUCCCCAUGGUCUUUUUCUUUUCUUUCUUAAAUUGAGGCCAUUUAACAUGACAACUAGGAUGCCAACGUGGCCAGUUGAAUGACAGGUCAGCUUUCCAUUACAGAUGUAAUGGAAAAUGGUUGUUUGUGGCUGGUUUGCUAUUUUUCUAAAAUUCAGUGACUGAAUUGUAACUUUUCAAAAUUUAGUAACUGUUUUGUUAUUUUAACCCAAGUUUAGUGACUAUUACUGUACUUUACCCUAAAAAUAAUUUUAAAAAAUUUAUAUUAAAAAAACUAAAGAUGGAAAUAAUGCAAAAUAUAUAUUUUUUUAAAAAACCUAUUUUUCUGUUAAAAAGUAUAAAACCAAUACCGUAAAAAUCAAAACAAUCCAGUUUGAUUUUCUUUAAUAUUUUACAAUUUUAAACCGCUAAAUCAAGUUAUUCAAGUUCAGCAGAUUCAACCCACUGAUCCAGUCUGAUUUUUUUCAAGGAAAUGUUUGGACGUUCAAAAAGAGAAAAGUAGAACAACAUAUCAAAUAAGGGGAUUCAUUAUCCAUUAAAUGUAAGGUGAAAACUAUAAUAUGUGACGUCCAUGAAAUCCUCU
This 1524-nucleotide long non-coding RNA is filed under the name Gossypium barbadense (sea-island cotton). Its description in RNAcentral is "long non-coding RNA (GBAR_LNC008356)". Lineage: Eukaryota; Viridiplantae; Streptophyta; Magnoliopsida; Malvales; Malvaceae. The record is from RNAcentral.